RNAcentral lists this ribosomal RNA (1372 nucleotides) under uncultured bacterium. RNAcentral's name for it is "bacterial SSU rRNA". It matches the Rfam family "Bacterial small subunit ribosomal RNA", at positions 28 to 1381 of the family's 1533-position model. The record is from RNAcentral.
GAUGAACGCUGGCGGCGUGCCUAAUACAUGCAAGUCGAGCGAACGGACGAGAAGCUUGCUUUUCUGAUGUUAGCGGCGGACGGGUGAGUAACACGUGGAUAACCUACCUAUAAGACUGGGAUAACUUCGGGAAACCGGAGCUAAUACCGGAUAAUAUUUUGAACCGCAUGGUUCAAAAGUGAAAGACGGUCUUGCUGUCACUUAUAGAUGGAUCCGCGCUGCAUUAGCUAGUUGGUAAGGUAACGGCUUACCAAGGCAACGAUGCAUAGCCGACCUGAGAGGGUGAUCGGCCACACUGGAACUGAGACACGGUCCAGACUCCUACGGGAGGCAGCAGUAGGGAAUCUUCCGCAAUGGGCGAAAGCCUGACGGAGCAACGCCGCGUGAGUGAUGAAGGUCUUCGGAUCGUAAAACUCUGUUAUUAGGGAAGAACAUAUGUGUAAGUAACUGUGCACAUCUUGACGGUACCUAAUCAGAAAGCCACGGCUAACUACGUGCCAGCAGCCGCGGUAAUACGUAGGUGGCAAGCGUUAUCCGGAAUUAUUGGGCGUAAAGCGCGCGUAGGCGGUUUUUUAAGUCUGAUGUGAAAGCCCACGGCUCAACCGUGGAGGGUCAUUGGAAACUGGAAAACUUGAGUGCAGAAGAGGAAAGUGGAAUUCCAUGUGUAGCGGUGAAAUGCGCAGAGAUGUGGAGGAACACCAGUGGCGAAGGCGACUUUCUGGUCUGUAACUGACGCUGAUGUGCGAAAGCGUGGGGAUCAAACAGGAUUAGAUACCCUGGUAGUCCACGCCGUAAACGAUGAGUGCUAAGUGUUAGGGGGUUUCCGCCCCUUAGUGCUGCAGCUAACGCAUUAAGCACUCCGCCUGGGGAGUACGACCGCAAGGUUGAAACUCAAAGGAAUUGACGGGGGCCCGCACAAGCGGUGGAGCAUGUGGUUUAAUUCGAAGCAACGCGAAGAACCUUACCAAAUCUUGACAUCCUUUGACAACUCUAGAGAUAGAGCCUUCCCCUUCGGGGGACAAAGUGACAGGUGGUGCAUGGCUGUCGUCAGCUCGUGUCGUGAGAUGUUGGGUUAAGUCCCGCAACGAGCGCAACCCUUAAGCUUAGUUGCCAUCAUUAAGUUGGGCACUCUAAGUUGACUGCCGGUGACAAACCGGAGGAAGGUGGGGAUGACGUCAAAUCAUCAUGCCCCUUAUGAUUUGGGCUACACACGUACUACAAUGGACAAUACAAAGGGCAGCGAAACCGCGAGGUCAAGCAAAUCCCAUAAAGUUGUUCUCAGUUCGGAUUGUAGUCUGCAACUCGACUACAUGAAGCUGGAAUCGCUAGUAAUCGUAGAUCAGCAUGCUACGGUGAAUACGUUCCCGGGUCU